GGGGUUGUAGCUCAGUGAUAGAGUGCUUGCCUAGCACGUGCAAGAUCCUGGGUUCAAUUCCGAGCACCCAUA
RNAcentral lists this transfer RNA (72 nucleotides) under Mesocricetus auratus (golden hamster). It matches the Rfam family "tRNA". Rfam says of the family: Transfer RNA (tRNA) molecules are approximately 80 nucleotides in length. Their secondary structure includes four short double-helical elements and three loops (D, anti-codon, and T loops). Further hydrogen bonds mediate the characteristic L-shaped molecular structure. tRNAs have two regions of fundamental functional importance: the anti-codon, which is responsible for specific mRNA codon recognition, and the 3' end, to which the tRNAs corresponding amino acid is attached (by aminoacyl-tRNA synthetases). tRNAs cope with the degeneracy of the genetic code in two manners: having more than one tRNA (with a specific anti-codon) for a particular amino acid; and 'wobble' base-pairing, i.e. permitting non-standard base-pairing at the 3rd anti-codon position. Lineage: Eukaryota; Metazoa; Chordata; Mammalia; Rodentia; Cricetidae. The record is from Rfam by way of RNAcentral.